RNAcentral lists this ribosomal RNA (810 nucleotides) under uncultured archaeon. Its description in RNAcentral is "bacterial SSU rRNA". It matches the Rfam family "Archaeal small subunit ribosomal RNA", at positions 85 to 879 of the family's 1478-position model. The record is from RNAcentral.
ACGGCUCAGUAACACGUGGCUAAUCUGCCCUUGGGACUAGAACAACCCCGGGAAACUGGGGGCUAACUCUAGAUAGGUGAAGAACUCUGGAAUGAGUCUUUGCCUAAAUAGGUUCACGUUAUCCUCGUGAACUUGCCCAAGGAUGAGGCCGCGACCGAUCAGGUUGUUGGCGAGGUAAUGGCUCACCAAGCCUUUUACCGGUGCGGGCCGUGGGAGCGGGAGCCCGGAGAUGGGUACUGAGACAAGGACCCAGGCCCUACGGGGCGCAGCAGUUGCGAAACCUUUGCAAUACACGAAAGUGUGACAGGGCUAUCCCGAGUGCCAUCCGCUGAGGAAGGCUUUUACCCAGUCUAGAACGCUGGGGGAAUAAGGAGAGGGCAAGUCUGGUGUCAGCCGCCGCGGUAAUACCAGCUCUCCGAGUGGUGUGGAUGUUUAUUGGGCCUAAAGCAUCCGUAGCUGGCUAGGUAAGUCCCUUGUUAAAUCCACCGAAUUAAUCGUUGGAUCGCGGGGGAUACUGCUUGGCUAGGGGACGAGAGAGGCAGACGGUAUUCUCGGGGUAGGGGUGAAGUCCUAUAAUCCCGGGAAGACCACCAGUGGCGAAGGCUGUCUGCUAGAACGCGCCCGACGGUGAGGGAUGAAAGCUGGGGGAGCGAACCGGAUUAGAUACCCGGGUAGUCCCAGCUGUAAACGAUGCAGACUAGGUGUUUGAACGGCCACGUGCCGUUCUAGUGCCGCAGGGAAGCUGUUAAGUCUGCCGCCUGGGGAGUACGAUCGCAAGAUUGAAACUUAAAGGAAUUGGCGGGGGAGCAC